RNAcentral lists this long non-coding RNA (686 nucleotides) under Equus caballus (horse). RNAcentral describes it as "lncRNA (ENSECAG00000056221.1)". Lineage: Eukaryota; Metazoa; Chordata; Mammalia; Perissodactyla; Equidae. The record is from RNAcentral.
UAACUCUAGAGAUGUAAAGCCCUCAGAGGGACUGAGGCCAUUUCUUUUUUUACAGCAGAAUGGGGACCUACGGAUAAUUAUUAAGCUAUAUAAAACGAACUUAUAUUUCUUAGACACCUCUAGACGGAGAGAUGAGAUGAAGGAACUCACAGAGCCUGAUUGCUAUGAUUUUAGACGACCAUUACUUGACAAGCCGGGAGAACCCUGCAGUUCCUGACCUUUCAGGAAAUUACCGGAUGUGACGUAAAGUUGAAUACAGUGAAAGUGAAUUUUGUACAACUUCUGAGAAGGGCUUCAAGAUGUCUUGUAGCUUCUGGGCUUGCAUUCUUGGAACAGUGAGACCACAUGGAGAGAGAGGUCAGACAAGAGUUAGCACCGAUCUCCAGAUGCAUGAGUGAAGCUGUUUUGGACCAUCCAGCCCCAGGAACUGCAGGCAGCCUCAAGAAACUGAAGACAGCCUCCAGCUGGAGCCAGCAAGAAGCUGGGGCCAUCAGUCCUACGACAGGGAAAUAAAUUCUGCCAAAAAACGAUGUGAGCUUGGAAAUGGAUUCUUCCCCAGUCGUUCCUCCAGAUGAGAAUACAGCCCAGCUGACACCUUGAUUACAGCCUUGCAGAAGACUCAGACAAGCUGUGCCCAGACUCUUGACCACAGAAACUUUGGGAUAAUAAAUGCAUGUUGUUUUAAU